AUGCCCUGGAGCGCCACCUGCCACGUGGGCCGAGCCACAAGGGUCCCAGGAUCUCCAGAAGGACCAGUGCCUUGGGGUGGGAAGUGGCGGCAUUGGCAGUCCGAGGCCCGGCUGCGCUCAGGAUGUCUCCUCCCCAGCCUGGCAAGCCGACAAGUGGUGCGCCCCAGAGGUGGCUCUGCCCCGUGCUUUUUGCCCCUUGUUUUGGGCACGUGGUGGCCUACCAGGUACUCCCACGUGGCUGCGCUGCCUCUUUUAAGGGCGGAGUUGUCUCGCUACGAAAGGAAUAACGUUCAUGAGAAAACUAAGGCAGGAAAAAAUCAAGGUGACCCCAAGAAAAUGGCUCCUCCUCCAACGGAGGUAGAAGAAGAUAGUUAAGAUGAGGAAAUGUCAGAAGAUGCAGAAGGUGAUAGCAGUGGAGAAGGGGUUGUCAUACCUCAGAAUAAAGGCCAGAAGGCUGCUGCGACCCUGCCAAAGAAAGUAGUAGUUUCCUCAACAAAAAAGGUUGCAGUUGCCACACCAGUGAAUAAAGCAGCUGUCACUCCAGACAAAAAGGCAGCAGCAACACUUGUCAAAAAGAUAGUUAUACAAGCCAAAGCAGUCGCAAUACCUGGCAAGAAGGGAGCCACACCAGGCAAAGCAUUGGUAGCAACUCCUGGUAAGAAGAGUGCUGCCACCCCAGCCAAGGGGGCAAAGAAUGGCAAGAAUGCCAAGAAGGAAGACAAUGAUGAAGAGGAGGAGGAGGACAGUGAGGAGGAUGAUGAGGAUAAGGAUGAAUUUGAACCAACAGUGGGGAAAGUAGCAGUUGCUGCCCCUGCCUCAGAGGAUGAGGAUGAUGAAGAUGAUGAUGAGGAGGAGGAUGAUGGUGAUGAAGACAACGACUCUGAAAAGGAAGCUGUGGAGACCAUGCCAGCCAAAGGAAAGAGAGCUGCAAACGCUGUUCCUGUGAAAGCCAAGAACGUGGCUGAGGAUGAAGAUGAAGAAGAGGAUGAGGACGACGAGGAUGAUGAAGAUGAGGAUGAAGAUGAAGAUGAGGAAGAUGAUAAGGAAGAGGAGGAAGAAGUUGAGGAAGAGCCUGUCAAAGAAGCACCUGGAGAAGGAAAGAAGAAAAUGACCAAACAGAAAGCAGCUCCUGAAGCCAAGAAACAGAAAGUGGAAAGCACAGAACCGACCACAGCUUUCAAUCUUUUUGUUGGAAAUCCAAACUUUAGCAAAUAUGCUCCUGAAUUACAAACUGGUAUCAGCGAUUAUUUUGCUAAAAAUAAGCUUGCUGUUGUGAGUGUCAGAAUUGGUAUGACAGAGAAAUUUGGUUAUGUGGAUUUUGAAUCUGCCGAAGACCUGGAAAAAGCCUUGGAACUUACUGGUUUGAAAGUCUUGGCAAUGAAAUUAAACUAGAGAAACCAAAAGGAAAAGACAGUAAGAAAAAGCAAGAGGCGAGAACACUUUUGGCUAAAAAUCUCCCUUACAAAGUGACUCAGGAUGAAUUUUAAAAAGUGUUUGAAGAUGCUGCUGCAGAGAUCAGAUUAGUCAGCAAGGAUGGGAAAAGUAAAGAGAUUGCUUAUAUUGAAUUUAAGACAGAAGCUGAUGCAGAGAAAACCUCUGAAGAAAAGCAGUGAAUGGAGAUCAAUGGGCGAUCUAUUUCCCUGUAUUAUACUGGAGAGAAAGGUGAAAAUCAAGACUACAGAGGUGGAAAGAAUAGCACUUGUAGUGUUGAAUCAAAAACUCUGGUUUUAAGCAACCUCUCCUACAGUGCAACAGAAGAAACUCUUCCGGAAGUACUUGAGAAAGCAACUUUUAUCAAAGCACCCCAGAACCAUACUGGCAAAUCUAAAUGGUAUGCAUUUAUAGAGUUUCCUUCAUUUGAAGAUGCUAAGGAAGCUUUAAAUUCCUGUAAUAAAAGGGAAAUUGAGGGCAGAGUCAUCAGGCUGGAGUUGCAAGGACCAAGGGGAUCACCUAAUGCCAGAAGCCAGCCAUCCAAAACUCUGUUUGUCAAAGGCCUGUCUGAGGAUACCACUGAAGAGACAUUAAAGGAGUCAUUUGAGGGCUCUGUUCUGGCAAGGAUAGUCACUGACUGGGAAACUGGGUCCUCCAAAGGGUUCGGUUUUGUAAACUUCAACAGUGAGGAGGAUGCCAAAGCUGCCAAGGAGGCCAUGGAAGAUGGUGAAAUUGAUGGAAAUAAAGUUACCUUGGACUGUGCCAAAUCUAAGGGUGAAGGUGGCUUUGGGGGUCAUGGUGGAGGCAGAGGUGGCUUUGGAGGAUGAGGUGGUGGCAGAGGAGGCCAAGUAGGAUUUGGUAGCAGAGGCCGGGGAGACUUUGGAGGGCGAGGCAGCUUUCGAGGAGGCAGAGGAGGAGGAGGUGACCACAAGCCACAAGGAAAGAAGAUAAAGUUUGAAUAGC
Molecule: RNA transcript, 2394 nt
Organism: Cebus imitator (Panamanian white-faced capuchin)
Lineage: Eukaryota; Metazoa; Chordata; Mammalia; Primates; Cebidae
Gene name: nucleolin-like
Exons: 1
Source: RefSeq, a predicted model, not a curated record